GCCAAGAGCUGGACUCAGCUGAACUCAUGGACAUGACAGUCCCAUGUGCAAGUACUGGGGUGGCCCCUUCCUGAGCCUAGAUUCCUGGGAGGGGACAAAAGGCUGUGCCUGCUCAGGUGUGACCUCUUUCAACCAGGGGAAAAGGCAGCCUUUCUCACAGUUCUGCUCCUAGGCCUCGAAUUGUUUUGGAUACCUCUGAGAAAGCAGUCUGAAAGGGAGUCUUAGAAAGAAAUAUAUGAUAAUACCAGGCUUGUCUGCUGCGCUGAGUGGGGACAUUCAGAGAGAUAAUAUUUGCCUGGAAUAGUGGUUCCAUGGAACAUUAUUGUCCAUUGUGCCUGAAUGAUUAGAGAAACAGGGAUCCUGGCGGACAGAAGCUUCUGGAACCACGCUGCUUGGAUUUGAAUCUGGCUCUAUCAUCUGCUAGUUUUAUGACUUUGGGGUAGAAGCCAGUCCACGGAGGUCCCACUAAGAAGGAUAAAAGAUUUCCCAAAGGUGAAUGAAUCUACAGUCCUCCUUCCAAAAAAAUAUCAGACUCUGGGGAGACAAUAAGAAAGGAACUAAAGCUACUUUUGAAAAGUUUUCCAAGGUUGGUUAGAUUCUCCAGAAGCAGACCCUGAAUGAUUCAUUUAAGUUGGUCACUGAAAGGAAGGCUGUCAGGCCAUCCUGCAGUCUGGAGUUCUUACAGCCAAGUAGGAGCCAUUUGGACUAUAGACGUCUAGCCAGCCUGUUCACAUGGCCCAAAGGUGUGACCUACACUCACAGUUGUUAGUUGUUAGCACCUGAGCACAGCACUGCAGGUGAGACUUCUGAAGACCCGGUCCUGUCACCUAACAGCAAGAAAGAGCUUCUGGAAGCCUGCAGCUCAGCCGUUGAGCUCUCAAGUGUGGCCUGUCUAAUGGUGGCCUGCCAGUCUGGAGAGGAACAGGGACAUUAGCUGGCAAGUUAGAUCUGGGAUCGGUUUUGUGCAGCAUUAGGAGAUUGUAAGGAUUAAGGGAAAUGAGGCAAAAGCCAGGAAGCAGACGUGCUAAAUCUACUGGUUUUCCGAAGGUAUAAAUCCUGCUAGUUGUGCCCUGCCACCAUGGAGUCUCUAGAUCCUUGUCAAACCUCUUCCUCAGACUAAAAAUAAUCAUUCGUAUAUAAACAAACGUAAAUAUAUUUUUAACAUGCCUCAGAAAACCACCUUCCUGUUGGGUUUCAAGGUUCUCUGUCCCAGUCAACUGGCAGAUCACAAAAGCAACUGCAACUGCUUGGAACUUUCCACCACAGACAGUCAAUUGUGACCCCAGCUGACAUCUUAUUGUGGGUGCCAAAGUGAGUUUGUGUUGAGAGAUUGCAAUCUCUAACUGCUUUGUGGUUUCAGAAGGCAAGAGAGGCCAGAACCUAAGGGAGGGCUGAGAGGUUAAAAACUCAGGGUGAAUAACUCCCAAAGGACCCACACCUUUUGAGGGUCAUUGGUGUGGCUUCCUGAGGAAAGUUUUAUAAGCCAGAGCACCAUACCGUUGAAACGUUAGCCAGCGGAAACAAAGAAAACCCGUCACUCAGCCAGGCAGCUAGCUGGCUGGCUGCUUCCAGAUGGGGAUGGUAUUUCACCCUGUGAGGGCAGGCUGAGAUGGAAGAGGAACUGACCAACUGACACCAUCUGAAAGAAUUUGACACUAUAAAAAAUGUAUUUCUUUUAAAGGUGUACACACGGCAGAUGAUCCCUGUUAGCUUAUAUCUAACAAAAUAACACUGUGUUCCUACCAAGGUAGUCUUUUUCUAACUUACUUAUCAGAUAUUAGGCACCUCUUACCUCUUCUUGGCACUUAUUAUCCUUCCAUGAAAGGAAAAGAUUGCGUCAAAUGAAGAACUGUAUUGCAAGGACCUUAUGUGCUUGUCAGGGUGUGGCCCACAUCCCCAGGAGGCAAGGCUAGGAAUAAUUAGAAAAAAUUGUGGGAUAAAGAAACAGAGAUAGAGAAGAGCUAAGACAUGUGCUCAGAGGCAAAUGGCUUAGAGCUAGUCAAGUGGCAGAGGCAUUUUUUUUUUUUCCAGCACCACAAUUAAGGUCACUGGACUCUUAGGCGCUGCUUUGGUGAUAAACUAAUGCUUCCAGUUCCGAUGAAGUGGUGUAAGCUCAGGCCAGCGAAACAAGCAAGAAGCAUGUGCAGGAAGGCAGAGCUCUUAGCUCCCAUUUCCCAGUCCAUUCACAGACUCCUACCUCUGCCCUUAGAGCUGUUUGGGAAGUUCUUCUACUUUGGCCUUCAGCCCCCAACAAUGGAAUUUCUCUGCUUGGGGGUAAAAAGAGGAAUUCCUCUCACAGUGCCAACAUCACCCCCCUCCUUGUCACCCCGAGGAGAGAGCAGAGAGGUGGUGAGACCAGGCCUGCCCAGAGAUGGAGUUUUGAGGCGUGAGGUAAUGUUGGUUCCCCAUGUAUGACUGCAACCAGAGGAGCUUGGCAGGGGCUGUAAUGGAAGAGAGGCCGGCUUUGAGAUUUUCUUUCUGUUUGGUCUGGAUGUAUUCCAAAUACAAAUUAAACUCAAAUGAAAACUUUAGAAAUGUUAUAUUACCAAAGUGUGCCUGUGUGUGUUUUGGGGGGAUAAGGGUGAAAGAACGGGGGCUGUCGGGGAGGGGGAGCAGCUGCCAUACAGCUAAACAACUAAAUCUUAACCUAAACCUAAACAACCACAGCAUUCAGAGCAUCCAGGCUCUCAUGGCCCCCCCACUAAAGGGGAGGGAUCAUUACUACCCAAGGGCUCGGAUUUUGUGUUUCAAUUACACACCAGUCCGGGUGUGCAACUGGAACGCCUGGGUCACAGCCAUUCAUUUGCCGUUAACAUGGUUGCUAACCUUCCUUAUCUCUACUUCUCUGGCCCUCAGCCUCUUCAACUGUAAAUGAGUGGUAUGAAUCAGAUGGCAGGCAUCUUUCCACUCGGAGUGCGGUUCUAGUGCGGUCAAUGGAGUGCGUGAUUUCUAAACAUCAGUCACCCAUAAUUCUAAGAUGGAUUUGAAAAACGGAAAAUGUUGAGUGGCUCUAUGCAUUUCAUUUCUGUCUUUUUUAGAGGACCUUUCCUAUUUCAGGCAACUGCCUCUGCGAAAACCACUGUGACAGAUUAAAACUACUCUUUAUCCAAUCUUCAGGAGCCUUGGGAAUACAGAUGACACCCCAGCAAGAUUG
Hipposideros armiger (great roundleaf bat) is the source of this 3154-nucleotide long non-coding RNA. RefSeq lists it as uncharacterized. NCBI's taxonomy places the organism in Eukaryota, Metazoa, Chordata, Mammalia, Chiroptera, Hipposideridae. The transcript has 7 exons. The record is from RefSeq and is a predicted model, not a curated record.